UGGGGAAUAUUGCACAAUGGGCGCAAGCCUGAUGCAGCCAUGCCGCGUGUAUGAAGAAGGCCUUCGGGUUGUAAAGUACUUUCAGCGGGGAGGAAGGUGUUGUGGUUAAUAACCACAGCAAUUGACGUUACCCGCAGAAGAAGCACCGGCUAACUCCGUGCCAGCAGCCGCGGUAAUACGGAUGGUGCAAGCGUUAAUCGGAAUUACUGGGCGUAAAGCGCACGCAGGCGGUCUGUCAAGUCGGAUGUGAAAUCCCCGGGCUCAACCUGGGAACUGCAUCCGAAACUGGCAGGCUUGAGUCUUGUAGAGGGGGGUAGAAUUCCAGGUGUAGCGGUGAAAUGCGUAGAGAUCUGGAGGAAUACCGGUGGCGAAGGCGGCCCCCUGGACAAAGACUGACGCUCAGGUGCGAAAGCGUGGGGAGCAAACA
Molecule: ribosomal RNA, 427 nt
Filed under: uncultured bacterium
Lineage: Bacteria
Description: partial 16S ribosomal RNA
Rfam family: Bacterial small subunit ribosomal RNA
Source: RNAcentral